Long non-coding RNA from Pogoniulus pusillus (Red-fronted tinkerbird), 781 nucleotides. RefSeq lists it as uncharacterized. NCBI's taxonomy places the organism in Eukaryota, Metazoa, Chordata, Aves, Piciformes, Lybiidae. The record is from RefSeq and is a predicted model, not a curated record. The transcript is spliced from 5 exons.
CCCAUUGUGGGCUAAGGGAUCCUCCGCCUGGCUUCCCUGGGUAUUUUAGCUGUUUGAGGCUCUUGCCUCGGGCUCUCAGCUGACUGCAAAAGUGGUGGUGGAGAAGAAUUGCUCUUAUGGCAGAAUGAGAGUCUGCUCUAAUAUCUCUCCACUAAUCUUGGCUGACACCUAAUAAUCUGCAAAAAAGCCACAACCUGAUGACAGAGCUAUGUAGGAAAAGUACCUAUGGAUUUUUUUUCCUAGGGUUCCACUGACUCAAGCCUGCAAACAAGCAGCAAGAAACAUGUGUUGACAAGGUGUAGGCAUAAGUCCCUCUGUGUAACCCAGAGAACAAGGUGCUGUCUGCAAAGUCCUCACUGCUCUCCUGGGUCUGGCAGGGACUGGCCAUCAUGAAGUGGCUUGUUGGAUGCAUUUGUUUCAGCUUCUAAGGAUCAAUAUUUAGUGUGAGAGAAUCUUUUGCUUCUGAAUGUUUCUUUUUUAAACCCCUGACCUUGUCAAUAUUAAGCACAGUUUACUAUGUGUUGUUUCCUUUUCCCAGUUUGGGAAUCCUUCUAAUAAUGGUUCCUCUUCUUGUUGGGAGAGCAGGAGAAGCCAUGCCUGGUAAAAAGGGCCUUUUUUCCAUCCUCCUCUCUGGGUUCUUUGCUGACCUAGCUGUACUUUGGCCUUGUUGAAGCAUGGGCCUUCUGAUCUUGAUGUAAAGAACACUUUAUUUGACAUUUAUGAGCUUGCCUGCUGUUGAUUGUGCCCUUGUUUACAGAUAAAAGCUGGUCCUAUAGCCUUU